This 253-nucleotide ribosomal RNA is filed under the name Posidoniimonas sp. RNAcentral describes it as "partial 16S ribosomal RNA". It matches the Rfam family "Bacterial small subunit ribosomal RNA", at positions 524 to 776 of the family's 1533-position model. Lineage: Bacteria; Pseudomonadati; Planctomycetota; Planctomycetia; Pirellulales; Lacipirellulaceae. The record is from RNAcentral. RNAcentral also lists the same sequence under 1 other name.
GACGAACCGCCCAAACGUUAUUCGGAAUCACUGGGCUUAAAGGGUGCGUAGGCGGCGGCGUCAGUCGGGUGUGAAAUCCCACAGCUCAACUGUGGAACUGCGCCCGAUACUGCGUCGCUCGAGGGAGACAGAGGCAAGCGGAACUGAUGGUGGAGCGGUGAAAUGCGUUGAUAUCAUCAGGAACACCGGUGGCGAAAGCGGCUUGCUGGGUCUCUUCUGACGCUGAGGCACGAAAGCUAGGGUAGCGAACGGG